UACGUAGGUGUCAAGCGUUGUCCGGAUUUAUUGGGCGUAAAGCGCCCGCAGGCGGCUUGCCAAGUUCGAUGUGAAAUCUCCCGGCUCAACUGGGAGGGUGCAUCGAAAACUGGCAGGCUUGAGGCAGGGAGAGGGAUGUGGAAUUCCAGGUGUAGUGGUGAAAUGCGUAGACAUCUGGAGGAACACCAGUGGCGAAGGCGGCAUCCUGGCCCUGUCCUGACGCUCAGGGGCGAAAGCGUGGGGAGCAAACCGG
This 253-nucleotide ribosomal RNA is filed under the name uncultured bacterium. Its description in RNAcentral is "partial 16S ribosomal RNA". It matches the Rfam family "Bacterial small subunit ribosomal RNA", at positions 524 to 776 of the family's 1533-position model. The record is from RNAcentral.